UAAAUUAAUAAAUUAAUUUAACUGUUACAUCAUAGAAAAUAGUAAUCUAAAGUUUAGGUAGUCCUGCAUCAGAAAAGGUUUGACCAAUUGGAAAGAUUGCUAACCAGUUUGUAAACAUGUUAGCUGUAUGCAGUCUUGCUCAGGGUUAUGGUAUGGCUGGCUAACCAGUAAGUGGUUUGGAUUGCCCAUCUCCAAGCUGUUUUUGCUGUUACAUUAAGGUUGGCAGAAGGAGUUUUUGAGCAAAACAAUUUUUUUUUUCAGUCUGUGGUGACAGUGAAGGGUUUGGUCAGACAUUGACCAUUGUUUCGAUGAUUGUAUUAGGAUUUGUUUCUGUAGGUUGAAAAGGUACAAUGUUAUGUGCAUCUUGCAUUUAUUUUACAUAAUAUAUGUUCUUGAUGUUCUUGAUGUUCUUGAUGGUUGAUAUGAUUUAUGUAGGUAAGUUUUUUUUAAUGGUCGGAUGGUGGCUAGGAUUUUUCGUUUCCUGUAACUUUGCUCUUUUUACCGUUACGUAACAGUAUUUUUCUUGAACGUGUAGAAACAUUUUCUGAUGUUUCUGAUGUGUUAAGCUGCAAUUCUUUUCUUUGAUCUUAAAGUUGGAAUAUCUAAUGGAAAAUUUGGAAUCCUGCUGUUUUAUUCUGUGGAUCGGAUUUGCACUUCGCUGCAAUAGGUGGUUCGUUAUCUGCCAGUAGAUGUCCAAUUGUGAAUAUAUUGCUGCUGCAGUAACGACGCAUUUUCUGGUAGUAAUGUGGUAGCGACCUAUGUUGAUGAGGUCUCUUAAACUUGUCAAAAAUACACACGAAACGACAAGUGGGAGAUGCUAAGAUUGAAUUUCAAUUUGUUGUAAAUUUUCGUUCUGUUCCGUUUUCAGUACAGUGUUCACGCUUAUCUUAGUACGAUUUUAGGAAUGAAAUAACGGGAAAUAAAACUGUCAAGGUUAUUUUAACAAAACGGUUUGGUGAUAUGAUUGCUGGCAGUUGGAAGAAAACGUCUGAAAAUUUCUCUAGACUUAAUUAUUCUCACAUGUUUUCAAAAUAGAAUUUCUAUUUGGGCUUUGUUUCAUGGGGUCAUGUUUCCCCAUGACUUGUGAUAAACUCGUGUGAAUUCUGCUGAUACUUUGGCUAUAACGUUUUUUGUAUUUAUGUGAUAAAUUAUCAAUAAAACGCAUUUUGAAUAAUA
Molecule: long non-coding RNA, 1176 nt
Filed under: Daphnia magna
Lineage: Eukaryota; Metazoa; Arthropoda; Branchiopoda; Diplostraca; Daphniidae
Description: uncharacterized LOC116921787, transcript variant X2
Source: RNAcentral